This 872-nucleotide ribosomal RNA is filed under the name uncultured bacterium. Its description in RNAcentral is "bacterial SSU rRNA". It matches the Rfam family "Bacterial small subunit ribosomal RNA", at positions 43 to 923 of the family's 1533-position model. The record is from RNAcentral.
UGCGCGGCUACCAUGCAAGUCGAACGGAAAGGCCCUGCUUUUGUGGGGUGCUCGAGUGGCGAACGGGUGAGUAACACGUGAGUAACCUGCCCUUGACUUUGGGAUAACUUCAGGAAACUGGGGCUAAUACCGGAUAGGAGCUCCUGCUGCAUGGUGGGGGUUGGAAAGUUUCGGCGGUUGGGGAUGGACUCGCGGCUUAUCAGCUUGUUGGUGGGGUAGUGGCUUACCAAGGCUUUGACGGGUAGCCGGCCUGAGAGGGUGACCGGCCACAUUGGGACUGAGAUACGGCCCAGACUCCUACGGGAGGCAGCAGUGGGGAAUAUUGCACAAUGGGCGGAAGCCUGAUGCAGCAACGCCGCGUGCGGGAUGACGGCCUUCGGGUUGUAAACCGCUUUCGCCUGUGACGAAGCGUGAGUGACGGUAAUGGGUAAAGAAGCACCGGCUAACUACGUGCCAGCAGCCGCGGUGAUACGUAGGGUGCGAGCGUUGUCCGGAUUUAUUGGGCGUAAAGGGCUCGUAGGUGGUUGAUCGCGUCGGAAGUGUAAUCUUGGGGCUUAACCCUGAGCGUGCUUUCGAUACGGGUUGACUUGAGGAAGGUAGGGGAGAAUGGAAUUCCUGGUGGAGCGGUGGAAUGCGCAGAUAUCAGGAGGAACACCAGUGGCGAAGGCGGUUCUCUGGGCCUUUCCUGACGCUGAGGAGCGAAAGCGUGGGGAGCGAACAGGCUUAGAUACCCUGGUAGUCCACGCUGUAAACGGUGGGUACUAGGUGUGGGGUCCAUUCCACGGGCUCCGUGCCGUAGCUAACGCUUUAAGUACCCCGCCUGGGGAGUACGGCCGCAAGGCUAAAACUCAAAGGAAAUUGACGGGGCCCCG